AUGGAUUAGCGGCGGACGGGUGAGUAACACGUGAGUAACCUGCCUUUGACACAGGGAUAGCCUCGGGAAACCGGGAUUAAUACCAGAUAACAUUAUCAGAUCGCAUGAGAAGAUAAUCAAAGCUGAGGCGGUCAAAGAUGGACUCGCGUCCCAUUAGCUAGUUGGUAGAGUAAUAGCCUACCAAGGCAACGAUGGGUAGCCGGCCUGAGAGGGUGAACGGCCACAUUGGAACUGAGAAACGGUCCAAACUCCUACGGGAGGCAGCAGUGGGGAAUAUUGCACAAUGGGGGAAACCCUGAUGCAGCGACGCCGCGUGAGCGAAGAAGGUUUUCGAAUCGUAAAGCUCUGUCCUAUGGGAAGAUAAUGACGGUACCAUAGGAGGAAGCCCCGGCCAACUACGUGCCAGCAGCCGCGGUAAUACGUAGGGGGCAAGCGUUGUCCGGAAUCACUGGGCGUAAAGGGUUCGCAGGCGGAAAUGCAAGUCAGUUGUGAAAGGCAGAGGCUCAACCUCUGUAAGCAAUUGAAACUGUAUUUCUUGAGAUGUGGAGAGGCAAGUGGAAUUCCUAGUGUAGCGGUGAAAUGCGUAGAUAUUAGGAAGAAU
Molecule: ribosomal RNA, 601 nt
Filed under: uncultured Clostridium sp.
Lineage: Bacteria; Bacillati; Bacillota; Clostridia; Eubacteriales; Clostridiaceae
Description: bacterial SSU rRNA
Rfam family: Bacterial small subunit ribosomal RNA
Source: RNAcentral